UGUUAAAUUUGGACGAAUAAACUUGGGCAACACUCGGCCUCCGAGUCUCUGCCCAAUUUAAAUUUAAAAAAAAAAUCUAGAGUGCAAAGAAGUUCUCCACUAGGUAAAAAAAUUUAAACAACAUGAACAACAUUCAUAAUUGCAACUUAACAUAUUAUCCCUUUUUAGGGAUAUGAAGACAAAAAACCAAGCAUUGGCUCAUGGUACAGUGCAAGAAACAAACCUGGUGACGUGCCAAAUCAAUCUACGCGUUGUCCCAAAGUUUCUACAGAAUCACUUUACCAUCGCCUAUAUCUCUUUCAUCGCGAUUCAUCGGCCAUUCUGGAUAUUGCCCGAAUAUCUUAUAAAGAAAUGGCACUUGGACUUCGAAUGUUGCGGGUUUUCUUCAAGACUCAAAUUUCGUGGGCGACUCCGAGAUGGCGUGCAAGCAGCCAGCGAAGCAGACGGACUCGCGUCACUCGGUGUUAUGGCAGUUGAAUUUGUAAAAUAAUCAAGAGGACACCUCUUCUUUUUCUCUGCUGUAAUACACAGAUCAUCUCGUACCGACGACUCUCAGUUUGUAUUUAAUGAUUUUUCGCUACAUGCACAUCACAUGUAUAUUACGAGAAUGUACAUCAUACAUUCUUUCAGCUAUUUCUUUCAAAGCCGCAAUAUUUGGGUCUUUAACGAUCUUCCUUUU
Molecule: long non-coding RNA, 679 nt
Organism: Daphnia pulicaria
Lineage: Eukaryota; Metazoa; Arthropoda; Branchiopoda; Diplostraca; Daphniidae
Exons: 3
Source: RefSeq, a predicted model, not a curated record